AGCAGCCGCGGUAAUUCCAGCUCCAAUAGCGUAUAUUAAAGUUGUUGCAGUUAAAAAGCUCGUAGUUGAAUUUCGGGGUUAGUAGGUUGGUCAUGCCUCUGGUAUGUACUGGUCUCACUGAUUCCUCCUUCCUGAUGAGCCGUAAUGCCAUUAAUUUGGUGUUGCGGGGAAUUUGGACUGUUACUUUGAAAAAAUUAGAGUGUUUAAAGCAAGCUAACGCUUGAAUACAUUAGCAUGGAAUAAUGAAAUAGGACGUUCGAUCCUAUUUUGUUGGUUUCUAGGAUUGACGUAAUGAUUAAUAGGGAUAGUUGGGGGCAUUAGUAUUCAAUUGUCAGAGGUGAAAUUCUUGGAUUUAUUGAAGACUAACUACUGCGAAAGCAUUUGCCAAGGAUGUUUUCAUUAAUCAAGAACGAAAGUUAGGGGAUCGAAGACGAUCAGAUACCGUCGUAGUCUUAACCAUAAACUAUGCCGACUAGGGAUCGGAUGAUGUAAUUUUUAUGAUCAUUCGGCGCCU
This 514-nucleotide ribosomal RNA is filed under the name uncultured Glomus. RNAcentral's name for it is "SSU rRNA". It matches the Rfam family "Eukaryotic small subunit ribosomal RNA", at positions 569 to 1088 of the family's 1831-position model. The record is from RNAcentral. Lineage: Eukaryota; Fungi; Glomeromycota; Glomeromycetes; Glomerales; Glomeraceae.